Molecule: long non-coding RNA, 5546 nt
Filed under: Hordeum vulgare
Lineage: Eukaryota; Viridiplantae; Streptophyta; Magnoliopsida; Poales; Poaceae
Description: long non-coding RNA (HVUL_LNC010034)
Source: RNAcentral
AAACACACCGCCAAAGAGGAUUACAUCGGAUAGAUCUCCAUGAAGAUCAUGGAGAACUUUGUAUUGAAGAUCCAAGAGAGAGAAGAAGCCAUCUAGCUACUAACUACGGACCCGUAGGUCUGAAGUGAACUACUCACGAGUCAUUGGAGGGGCGAUGAUGUUGACGCAGAAGCCCUCCAACUCCAAAGUCCCCUCCGGCAGGGCACCGGGAAGGGUCUCCAGAUGAGAUCUCGCGGAAAUGGAAGUUUGCGGCGGCGGAAAAGUAUUUUCGUGGAUCCCUUGAUUUUUUUCUGUAUUGUAGGGAAUAUAUAGGCGAAGGAGCUAGGUCAAGGGGGCGCCAGGGAGGCCACAAGCCUGCUAGCCGCCGCCCCUUCGUGGCGGCUAGGGGGCUUGUGGGCCCGCUGUAGCUCUCCUGGCUUGGCCCUCAAGCCCCCUGAUCUUCUUCCGUUCGGGAAAAAUUUAUUUCGGGGAUUUUUUUCCGUUUGGACUCCGUUCCAAAAUCAGACCUGAAAAGAGCCAAAAACACAGAAAAACCAGGAACUGGCACUUGGCACUAAAUUAAUAAGUUAGUCCCAAAAAAGAUAUAAAAGGUACAUAAAACAUCCAAUGAUGACAAGAUAACAACAUGAAACCAUCAAAAAUUAUAGAUACGUUUGAGACGUAUCAAGCAUCCCCAAGCUUAACUCCUGCUCGUCCUCGAGUAGGGAAGUGAUAAAGAAUGAAUUUUUGAUGCUUUCAUGCUACCUAGCAUAGAUGUCCUUCGUAACUCCUCUUAUGUGACGUGGAUGUUCAGAUCCACUAGAUUCAAAACAAUAGUUUGCUACUGACGUGGAAACAAUAAUAAUUCAAGCAAACUAGCAAGGUAAUCAUGAACUUUCAAAAUAACAAGGCCAAAAGAAAGUUAUCCCUACAAAAGUAUAUAGUGUGGCUAUGCUCUAUCAUCAUCGCACAACGAAUUUAAAUCAUGCACAACCUCGGUAUUGGCCAAGUAGUUGUUUCAUACCUUUACUUUCUCAAACCUUUUCAACUCUCACGCAAUACAUGAGCGUGAGCCAUGGUUUUAGCACUAUAAGUGGUGUGGAGUGUGGUGGAGGUUGCAAGAAAAACAAGGAGAAGAUGGUCACAUUAACUAGGCAUAUCAAUGAGCUGUGGAGAUGCUCAUCAAAGAUAUCAAUGUGAAUGAGUAGGGAUUUCCAUACAAAUGAUGCACUAGAGCUAAGAGUAUGUGAAAGCUCUUAAAGAAAACUAGUUGGUGUGCAUCCAACUUGCUUGCUCACGAAGACCUAAGGCAAUUUUGAGGAAGCCUAUCAUUGGAAUAUACAAGACAAGUUAUAUAAUGAAAAUUUCCCACUAGCUAUAUGGUGGUGACAAAACGAGAGACUCUCAAUCAUGAAGAUCAUGGUGCUUAAUAUGCACAAGUGUGGAAAGGUGGUAGCAUUGUCCCUUCUCUCUUUUUCUCUCAUUUUUUUUAUUUUUUUGGUGGGCUCUUUGGCCUCUUUUUUUUGGUGGGAAUCUUUGGCCUCUUUUAUUUCCUCACAGGGGACAAUGCUCCAUCAAUGAUUAUCAUCACACUUUCAACUCAAAACUUAGAGCAACGAUGACUCUAUAUGGCAUGCCUUCGGUAGUGUACCGUGACAAUGAUCUAGCAUGGCAUAGACAUUAAUGGAAACAUCAUGCUAGCUAUAUUACGAUCAUGCAAUGGCAAUGUAGAAGUGGUGGCACAUGUCAUGGUGGUAGUUGCAUGGCAAUAUAUCUCGGAAUGACUUUGAAAAAGACAUAGUAGGUAGGUAUGGUGGCUGUUUUGAGGGAGGCUAAUGGUGGGUUUUGUGCACCGGCGAAAGUUGCAUGGCACUAAGAAGAUAGUGAUGGUGGAAGGUGAAAGUGCAUCUAAACCAUGGACUCAACAUUAGUCAUGAAGAACUCAUAUAAUUGUUCCAAAAGUUUUAUUAGUAAUCGAAACAAAGCAUUUAACGCAUACUCCUAGGGGAAGGGUUGGUAGGUAUAAACCAUCGCGCGAUCCCGACCGCCACACAAAGGAUGAUAAUCAAAAGACUAAUUAUGCUCAGACUUCAUCACAUAGCGUUUCACCAUACGUGCAUGCUAUGGGAAUCACUAACUUCAACACAAGUAUUUCUAGAUCCACAACACCUUACUAGCAUGAUUUCAAUAUUACCAAAACCACAACUCAAAACUAAUUGAGAUGAAUCAAACUUCUCUAACUAUUCAAUGCACAUGAAGGUGGAAGUUUUCGUAUCCCUUUGGAUAACUACCCCUUUUGAGACUACUUUCAAAGCAUAGAUCAAUUACCAAGCCACACACCACUGUGCUCUAAAAUAUAUAAGAGAAGCACAUAGAGCAAAAGUAUCUAGCUCAAAAGAUAUAAGUGAAGCACAUGUGAGCUGAAUUGUCUACCAAAGGAUAUAAGUGAAGCUCGACAAAAUCACGGUGAGUGCAUGUCUCUCUCUCUCUAGGUGUGCAGCAAGGAUGAUUGUGACACAACAAAAAUAAAAGACUCCUACGAUACAAGAUGCUCCAAGCAAAAACACAUAACAUGUGGUGAAUAAAAAUAUAGCCCUAAGUAACGUUACUGAUGGAUUGAAGACGAGAGAGGGGAUGCCUUCCCGGGGCAUCCCCAAGCUUAGGCUUUUACGGCAUCCUUGAAUAUCUUGGGGUGCCUUGGGCACCCCCAAGCUUGAGCUCUUGCCACUCUUUAUCUCUUUGUCCAUAAGAACUUCACCCAAAACUUGAAAACUUCACAACACGAAACUUAAACAGAAACUCGUGAUAACAUUAGUAUGAGAAAGCAAACCACCACUUCCUUAGGUACUGUAGCAAACUUAAAUUCUACUUAUGCUGAUGUUGUGUUACUGUAUUUUCAAUCUUCCAUGGCUAAUACCCCCCGAUACUAUCCAUAGUUUCAUCAAAAUAAGCAACCAAUACAACAAAAACAGAAUCUGUUAACAGCAGACCAGUCUGUAGCAAUCUGUAUAUUUCUUACUUCUGGUACUUCAAAAAUUCUGAAAAAUUACGACAGUGUGAAGAAUUCGCGUAUCAAUCAGCAUAAAAAAGAAUCAACUCAAAAGAUCUUAUAGAAAAAAAUGAAAAUUCUUUUCGUGAGCAGAAAUUUUCUGUCUUUUCCAGCAUGACCAAACGAUCAUCCCCAAGACUAAUCAUAACGGUUUUACUUGGUACAAACACAAAAAGAAACACAAAAAACACAAUCAUAACAGAAUUAUGAAAGUGUGGAAAACACAAAACAGAAAUAAAAAGGAUAGAUUCGUUGGGUUGCGUCCCAACAAGCGCUAUUGUUUAACGCCCUUAGUUAGGCAUUGAUAAUUCAAUGAUGCUCACACAAAAGACAAGAAUUGAAGCACAACGAGAGCAUCAUAAAGCAUGUGAAAAUCACAUCUAAGUCUAACAUACUUCCUAUGCAUAGGCAUUUUAUAGGAAAACAGAUUGUCAAGACAACCAAUAGUUACCAUAUGCAAGGAAGAAGAAAGAGACAAUAGCAAUCUCAACAUAACGAGAGGUGAUUUAGUGAUAUGAAAGUUUCUACCACCAUAUUUUCCUCUCUCAUAAUAAUUACAUGUGGGAUCAUAUUCGAAUUCAAAAAUGUAACUAUCACAUAGGAUAUUCUUUUCAUGAUCCACAUGCAUGCAAAGUUGACGCUCUUAAAAAAUAGUGGGAUUAUCAUCAACUGAAGUCAUGACUUCUCCAAACCCACUUUCAAUAUUAUUGCAAAUAUCAUAUUCAUCAUGAGGUUUGAACAAAUUUUCAAGAUCAUAAGAAAGAUCAUCACCCCAAUCAUGAUUAUUGCUACAAGUAGUGGACAUAGAAAAACUAGCAUCCCCAAGCUUAGGGUUUUGCAUAUUUUUAGCAUGAUUGUCACUAAUAGAAUUUAUAGUGAAACCAUUGCAAUCAUGCUUUUCAUCCAAUGAGCCCUCGUGAAUCACUUCAUAAAUUUCUUCCUCACAAUUUUUAGAUUCACGCAUCUCAAGUAAAACUCCAUAGAGAAAGUCAAGUGCACUCAACUCACUAGCAAUUGGUUCCACAUAAGUGGAUCUCUUAAAUAGAUUAGCAAGUGGGUGAGGAUCCAUAUCAAAAGAUUUUCAGCAAGUGAAGAUGCAAGCAUAUUGAAGGCACAUAGCACACGAGCAAAGGAAAGGCAAACGAAGAAAAGGGCAAACGAAAAAGGCAAAUGAAAAUGGCCAAUGUGAAGUGGGGGAGAGGAAAAUGAGAGGCAACUGGUAAAAAAGGUAAAUGCAAGAGAUGAGUUUGUGACACCUACUUGGAUAGAUCUCUCCUUCCCCGGCAACGGCGCCAGAAAUACUUCUGCUACUGCAACAAAAGGCCUUCCAACGGCGCCAGAAACGUGCUGACGGGAGACUGUUCUUAUCUUGAUACUCCUUAGCAACGACACCAGGAAUCCUUCUGCUACGGCUACGCCUUAAGGGACUUCCUAGGCAAAUAUGCAAAGGAUUUCCCCCGUGGCCUUGGAGCCUUGCGUUGGUGUUCCCUCGAAGUGGAAAGGGUGAUGUAGCGCAGUGGUGGUAAGUAUUUCCCUCAGUUUGAGAACCAAGGUAUCGAUCCAGUGAAGGAGUAUCACAAGUGCGUGCACAAACACAAAAAGCUUGCUCCCAACGCUAUGAAGGGGUUGUCAAUCCCUUAUAGAUUGUUCGCCAAGUGAGAACUGAAAGCAACAAAGUAACAAAGCAAAGUAAAAGAAAAAGUGGAAACGAUAGGUGUGAAUAGACCCAGGGGCCGUAGUGUUUACUAGUGGCUUCUCUCAUGAAAGCAAGUAGACGGUGGGUGAACAAAUUACUAUCGAGCAAUUGAUAGAACCGCGCAAAGUCGUGACGUCAUCUAUGGCAAUGAUUAUAUCUAUAGGCAUCACGUCCAAAACAAGUAGACCGAUACUUUCUGCAUCUACUACUAUUACUCCACACGUCAACCGCUAUCCAGCAUGCAUAUAGUGUAUUAAGUCCAAAAGAACAGAGUAACGCCUUAAGCAAGAUGACAUGAUGUAGAUGGACAAUCUCAUAUCUACGACAAAGCCCACCUUGUUACCCUUGAUGGAAACUACACGAUGUGUGCCUUGCUGCCCCUACUGUCAUUGGGAAAGGUCACCACACAGUAAGAACCCAAAACCAAGCACUUCUCCCAUUGCAAGAAUCAUAGAUCUAGUUGGCCAAACAAAACCCAAGACUCGGAGAGACUUACAAGGAUAUCAAAUCAUGCAUAUAAGAAAUCAGCAAAGACUCAAAUAUAUAUCAUAGAUAAUCUGAUCAGAAAUCCACAAUUCAUCGGAUCUCGACAAACACACCGCCAAAGAGGAUUACAUCGGAUAGAUAUCCAUGAAGAUCAUGGAGAACUUUGUAUUGAAGAUCCAAGAUAGAGAAGAAGCCAUCGAGCUACUAACUACGGACCCGUAGGUCUGAAGUGAACUACUCACGAGUCAUUGGAGGGCCGAUGAUGUUGAUGUAGAAGCCCUCCAACUCCAAAGUCCCCUCCGGCAGGGCACCGGGAAGGGUCUCGAGAUGAGAUCU